GGUUGGGCGCAAGCUUUCAAGGUAAUUUCUUCAGGGGUGAGAAGAA
Regulatory RNA element from Carnobacterium maltaromaticum LMA28, 46 nucleotides. It matches the Rfam family "Na+ riboswitch aptamer (DUF1646)". From Rfam's summary of the family: Proteobacteria, NC10, Acidobacteria, Verrucomicrobia. Lineage (Clostridia) The riboswitch of Na+ was first reported in a comparative analysis of intergenic regions and called DUF1646 RNA, it was also suggested that it acts as cis-reg RNA present upstream of Na+ genes. Afterward it was reported as a riboswitch that selectively senses Na+. NCBI's taxonomy places the organism in Bacteria, Bacillati, Bacillota, Bacilli, Lactobacillales, Carnobacteriaceae. The record is from Rfam.